UAAUACGUAGGUUGCAAGCGUUGUCCGGAUUUACUGGGUGUAAAGGGCGUGUAGGCGGAGAUGCAAGUUGGGAGUGAAAUCCCGGGGCUCAACCCCGGAACUGCUUUCAAAACUGCAUCCCUUGAGUAUCGGAGAGGCAAGCGGAAUUCCUAGUGUAGCGGUGAAAUGCGUAGAUAUUAGGAGGAACACCAGUGGCGAAGGCGGCUUGCUGGACGACAACUGACGCUGAGGCGCGAAAGCGUGGGGAGCAAACAGG
Molecule: ribosomal RNA, 256 nt
Filed under: uncultured archaeon
Lineage: Archaea
Description: partial 16S ribosomal RNA
Rfam family: Bacterial small subunit ribosomal RNA
Source: RNAcentral